CCGAGUGCGAGCCCUCGCGGCUCAACCUCCCACCCUUGUCUCUAUACACCUGUUGCUUUGGCGGGCCCACCGGGGUCACCUGGUCGCCGGGGGACGAAACGUCCCCGGGCCCGCGCCCGCCGAAGCGCUCUGUGAACCCUGAUGAAGAUGGGCUGUCUGAGUACUAUGAAAAUUGUCA
RNAcentral lists this unclassified non-coding RNA (178 nucleotides) under uncultured Penicillium. Its description in RNAcentral is "sequence contains ITS1". Lineage: Eukaryota; Fungi; Ascomycota; Eurotiomycetes; Eurotiales; Aspergillaceae. The record is from RNAcentral.